Molecule: long non-coding RNA, 1151 nt
Organism: Ornithorhynchus anatinus (platypus)
Lineage: Eukaryota; Metazoa; Chordata; Mammalia; Monotremata; Ornithorhynchidae
Exons: 4
Source: RefSeq, a predicted model, not a curated record
GGCGGGACUAGAACCUAGGGCCCCGGCCCUACGCCAUGCCGCUUCGUCCUGUUCUUAGUUUUCUUCUGUCUGUAGACAUGAUCCCUGUCCUUGAGGAACUUUCCAUCUCCCAGUGCCGUGAGGUUACAGUGGGAGUCUGUGAUUUCCUGACUCUCAGGCCCCUCGACCGCGCUCCUGACCCCGUUCACCUCUUCCACCCGCGCGGUAGCUGAUCCCCAAGGGAUUAUUUGAUACGACCGUUAAGGCUCCCUCUCCUUCCCUUCCUCUCCCAGAGGCAACUGUUUAUCGCUUCUCGACCUUUCCCUCGGAAACGAUCGCUUGAACGCGAACUCUGAAAUACGGCCGCGGCGGCCUGGAAAUUCUGCCCGUCGUUAACGAACCAGAAUGGGAAGAUCCAUCAGUGGAAAGACCUUUUCAUACCAAAAUAUCAGAUUACAGCGAUUUAAUGCUUAGGGCUGAGCUCGGAAAAGAGGCUGAAAGCAUUGUAGAAUUCUAUUACAGGUUCACAUUUCUCCUGGUCCAGUGUUCGAAUCCAGUGUUUCCCUUGUCGACGCAGAAGUUGACGGAAUCCAUCUUCUCUGGCACCGAUCUGGAAGUUGGAAUCUACUAUAGAAUUCUAAUUAGAAAGGAUGUCACCAGAAGACAGGCUGCCUAAAUCUGAAAAUGCUUUAAGAAAGAUUCCCCCAAACUCAUUACAAUAAAAACAGAAAUUGCUAAAUUUUCACAUAAACAAAAGCAGAACAUCUUCUUUUUAGAUCGUUCACCCAACGAAUUUUCUUAAAAUUGCAAAUGAUGGCCAAGCUUCGGCCUUGUGAAACGGUUAAUUGAAAAUGUGGAUGGAGAAAACAAGCGCUGGAGUCUUUUUUCAGUGGGGAAAGCGGGAGCGUGAGAAUGAACGCUAAUUUUAACUUCGCACGGAGACCGGCUGGUGUCAGAAGGGUUAGUUUCCACAGUAACUUCCCAGAACUCCAGUCGGGCUACGACGACGGCUAAUCGCCACUUGCUCCAACUUGCUCAAGGUAAGUUGAAAUGGAACCUUCAUUGAGGUACCUUCAUUUUGUGGACUGAAGUGAAGUGAAGGCCUCUUCAAUUAAGCGGUGAAAAGAGAUGGACAGACAGACAGGCAGACGGGGAGAGACCUGCAGGGAAAC